UGCAGSGACGCCGCSUGCGGGAYGRCGGCCUUCGGGUUGUAAACCGCUUUUGACUGGGAGCAAGCCMUUCGGGGUGAGUGUACCUUUCGAAUAAGCACCGGCUAACUACGUGCCAGCAGCCGCGGUAAUACGUAGGGUGCAAGCGUUAUCCGGAAUUAUUGGGCGUAAAGGGCUCGUAGGCGGUUCGUCGCGUCCGGUGUGAAAGUCCAUCGCUUAACGGUGGAUCCGCGCCGGGUACGG
This 240-nucleotide ribosomal RNA is filed under the name uncultured Bifidobacterium sp. Its description in RNAcentral is "partial 16S ribosomal RNA". It matches the Rfam family "Bacterial small subunit ribosomal RNA", at positions 387 to 635 of the family's 1533-position model. Lineage: Bacteria; Bacillati; Actinomycetota; Actinomycetes; Bifidobacteriales; Bifidobacteriaceae. The record is from RNAcentral.